Molecule: ribosomal RNA, 355 nt
Filed under: uncultured bacterium
Lineage: Bacteria
Description: bacterial SSU rRNA
Rfam family: Bacterial small subunit ribosomal RNA
Source: RNAcentral
ACAUGGCAGGACCGCUGGAGAGAUUCAGCUUUCUCGUAAGAGACCUGCACACAGGUGCUGCAUGCCUGUCGUCAGCUCGUGUCGUGGGAUGUUCGGUUAAGUCCGGCAACGAGCGCAACCCACGUCCCUAGUUGCCAGCAUUCAGUUGGGCACUCUAUGGAAACUGCCGAUGAUAAGUCGGAGGAAGGUGUGGAUGACGUCAAGUCCUCAUGGCCCUUACGGGUUGGGCUACACACGUGCUACAAUGGUGGUGACAGUGGGUUAAUCCCCAAAAGCCAUCUCAGUUCGGAUUGUCCUCUGCAACUCGAGGGCAUGAAGUUGGAAUCGCUAGAAUCGCGGACAGCAUGCCGCGGUG